RNAcentral lists this non-coding RNA (82 nucleotides) under Acetobacterium woodii. RNAcentral describes it as "c-di-GMP sequence". It matches the Rfam family "c-di-GMP-I riboswitch aptamer". Rfam says of the family: GEMM was predicted in a large-scale screen for bacterial structured RNA regulatory elements. Genes associated with GEMM are involved in a diverse array of functions, including chemotaxis regulation, signal transduction, secretion and chitin. RNAcentral also lists the same sequence under 1 other name. The record is from RNAcentral. Lineage: Bacteria; Bacillati; Bacillota; Clostridia; Eubacteriales; Eubacteriaceae.
UUGAAUAAUCGGCAAACUUACUGAAAAGUAAGGACGCAAAGCUUAAGGGCCUAAGUAAUUUAUAUGGCUGCCAGUUGCAAAU